RNAcentral lists this long non-coding RNA (1135 nucleotides) under Monodon monoceros (narwhal). Its description in RNAcentral is "lncRNA (ENSMMNG00015004755.1)". Lineage: Eukaryota; Metazoa; Chordata; Mammalia; Artiodactyla; Monodontidae. The record is from RNAcentral.
CGAGCGCGCCCGCGGCGCGCGGAUCUGCCUUCCGCGGUCCGGGGCUGCCCGGGGGGCGUCCGGCGUUCCCCGAGGGCGGGCGUGUCCGCGCGGCGCCGGCCGGGGCGCGAGCGCGGGGCCGCAGCCUGUUGCAGUGUUGGGGGGCGCCAGGAGCCCUGCGGGGGGCCGCGCGGCCCGGCUCCCAGCGCAGAGCAGUUUUCUCCAACUCUCCGCUUCCGUCUCCUCCGGGCCCACCGCUGCCGGGAGACCCCGUCCGGACCUGCCAAGAAAGGAGUAUGUCAUGAAAAAGGAACAGAAAAGACACGUCACUGUUGGUGAAAGGGGAGUUUCCUUUCCCAGUUGGUGGUUACUUCAUGAUUGGAAGAGAAGUACCUAGGUGGUUGAAGAGAUUAGAUUUUCAUAGCUGUACCGAUGAAGCUGAUAAAAGAAGAUGGGAAAAUGCUUUCUCUGGGUCAUAAUAGGCUGAUGAGUAAGUAAGCCUGAAAAAAGACAGAUCUGAAAUGAGGACAGGAAUCUUGAGUGUUUUAAAACCAAGUAGGACUUUGAAUACUUGUUGAGGAUGUUUUUGCCCCAAAAAUGGAGGAAGAAAAAAUUCUCAAAGCAAAAAGUGUAAAAAGCUGAGAGGAGUAACAACCCAGUCAGCUCCAAGAAUUGCAGUACUUUGUCAGCUUCUCUGAGCACACACAGGCAAAGGCAUCAGACACGUAUGAUGAUGGUUUCCUGCUCCAGGAAUGACUUCUUAACGUGGAUUUUGGAGUGCUUUUGCUUUUUCUUUUUUUUACAAUGUGUGUUUUUUGACUCUUUGUGUUAGGUAGAUUUAUGUCAAGGAAGUAAAUUGUGAAUUCAUGGUAUUUUUGACUAUCUCCACCCCUGUUCACUGUGUGACAUUGGAAAACUAGAGGUUUUAACAUUCCUUGAAGUUUUAUUGGAAGCAACACUGCAUCAGGCAAACAGAUCCACAGUGUAAGUUUUCUCUUUUUGGCAACUGUACUUGCUUUGAAUGAGCCGAAUGUCAGCUGGAUUUCACAGCAUAUCCGAUUUACAGUCUGUGUUUUAUCAAGGCCUUAAAUGUAUGUUUUAUACUCAGCAGAUGGGAAACACAUUGAGCACUGUGUUUGACAUGUAUGCCUAAGGA